This 258-nucleotide ribosomal RNA is filed under the name uncultured bacterium. Its description in RNAcentral is "partial 16S ribosomal RNA". It matches the Rfam family "Bacterial small subunit ribosomal RNA", at positions 96 to 354 of the family's 1533-position model. The record is from RNAcentral.
UGGCGGACGGGUGAGUAACGCGUGGAAAACCUGCCGUAUACUGGGGGAUAACACUUAGAAAUAGGUGCUAAUACCGCAUAAGCACACAGCUUCGCAUGAAGCGGUGUGAAAAACUCUGGUGGUAUACGAUGGUUCCGCGUCUGAUUAGCUAGUUGGUGGGGUAAUGGCCUACCAAGGCAACGAUCAGUAGCCGGCCUGAGAGGGUGAACGGCCACAUUGGGACUGAGACACGGCCCAAACUCCUACGGGAGGCAGCAG